Molecule: long non-coding RNA, 231 nt
Organism: Mustela erminea (ermine)
Lineage: Eukaryota; Metazoa; Chordata; Mammalia; Carnivora; Mustelidae
Exons: 3
Source: RefSeq, a predicted model, not a curated record
GAAGGAACCAGACCUUCAGGGAUUGGUCAAGAAUUCUCAUUUUGAACACUCUACAGUUUACUUCAUCAGACCUGAGGGAGAGACCUAGGCUGUUGGAUCACUUGAUGGCCAUCAGGAUGACUCCACAGCAACUCAAGCCAGUAGACAAUGUGCCCAUCUCUUAGGGCUGAGAAGAAAAUGUACUCUGCAACUACCUACUUUUACACAGUUGUCCGUUAGCGUCGGCAUGUC